ACACAGUAUUAAAGGUAACGCCUGCCCAGUGAAUAUUAAACGGCCGCGGGAUCCUCACCGUGCAAAGGUAGCAUAAUCACUUGUCCCCUAAAUAGUGACUAGUAUGAAUGGCCAAAUGAAGAUUUUACUGUCUCUUAUAGCUAAUCUAUGAAACUAAUCUACCAGUACAAAAUCUGGUAUAUUUACAUAAGACGAAAAGACCCUGUGGAACUUAUAAGCAUAAACCACCCUCCAUGGCCCACUGCUUUUAGUUGGGGCAACUUUGGAAACAAACAAAACUUCCAAUAUAAUUAAGAUAAACACAUCAAUAUGGUACAUUUUAUCAACUUUAGACCCAGUAUAUACUGAUCAAAGAACCAAGCUACCCCAGGGAUAACAGCGCCAUCCCCUCCUAGAGCCCUAAUCGACGAGAGGGGUUUACGACCUCGAUGUUGGAUCAGGGCCCCCAAACAGUGCAACAGCUGUUAACGGUUUGUUUGUUCAACAAUUAAAGCCCUACGUGAU
This 504-nucleotide ribosomal RNA is filed under the name Anadia rhombifera. RNAcentral's name for it is "partial 16S ribosomal RNA". It matches the Rfam family "Bacterial large subunit ribosomal RNA", at positions 1838 to 2604 of the family's 2925-position model. The record is from RNAcentral. Lineage: Eukaryota; Metazoa; Chordata; Lepidosauria; Squamata; Gymnophthalmidae.